GGGGCAGCAUAAUGGAUAGCAAUAUCUAUGGUGGCGACCGGCGCACGGGUGCGUAACGCGUAUGCAACCUACCUUUAACAGGGGGAUAACACUGAGAAAUUGGUACUAAUACCCCAUAAUAUCAUAGAAGGCAUCUUUUAUGGUUGAAAAUUCCGAUGGUUAGAGAUGGGCAUGCGUUGUAUUAGCUAGUUGGUGGGGUAACGGCUCACCAAGGCGACGAUACAUAGGGGGACUGAGAGGUUAACCCCCCACACUGGUACUGAGACACGGACCAGACUCCUACGGGAGGCAGCAGUGAGGAAUAUUGGUCAAUGGACGCAAGUCUGAACCAGCCAUGCCGCGUGCAGGAUGACGGCUCUAUGAGUUGUAAACUGCUUUUGUACGAGGGUAAACGCAGAUACGUGUAUCUGUCUGAAAGUAUCGUACGAAUAAGGAUCGGCUAACUCCGUGCCAGCAGCCGCGGUAAUACGGAGGAUUCAAGCGUUAUCCGGAUUUAUUGGGUUUAAAGGGUGCGUAGGCGGUUUGAUAAGUUAGAGGUGAAAUUUCGGGGCUCAACCCUGAACGUGCCUCUAAUACUGUUGAGCUAGAGAGUAGUUGCGGUAGGCGGAAUGUAUGGUGUAGCGGUGAAAUGCUUAGAGAUCAUACAGAACACCGAUUGCGAAGGCAGCUUACCAAACUAUAUCUGACGUUGAGGCACGAAAGCGUGGGGAGCAAACAGGAUUAGAUACCCUGGUAGUCCACGCAGUAAACGAUGAUAACUCGUUGUCGGCGAUACACAGUCGGUGACUAAGU
RNAcentral lists this ribosomal RNA (792 nucleotides) under uncultured bacterium. RNAcentral's name for it is "bacterial SSU rRNA". It matches the Rfam family "Bacterial small subunit ribosomal RNA", at positions 66 to 852 of the family's 1533-position model. The record is from RNAcentral.